Molecule: non-coding RNA, 2804 nt
Organism: Podarcis muralis (Common wall lizard)
Lineage: Eukaryota; Metazoa; Chordata; Lepidosauria; Squamata; Lacertidae
Source: RefSeq, a predicted model, not a curated record
GGUUACGCAACAACCAAGAUCCAUUAUUUUUGAGGGUGGAAAUCCCUUCUUUUGAAUCUGAAUUCCAGCAGCCAAGCCAUUGCCAGCCACCAGCCCCCCUUUUUGGGUCAGCCUCUUGUGACGAUAUGCUAGGCUUUUGUUUUUAACCUUGCGUUUGCCCCCCUUUCCUUUCCAAACUGUCUCACUGCUAAUCUGAACGAGAUCAUAGUUUAAUCUCAUUUCCCGGUCUCUUGGCUGCGGAGGGCGGGAUAUAAAUAAAAAUUAUUAUUAUUGUUGUUGUUAUUAUUUCCUAUGAAGUGCCGAUACCAUUUAUUUCUUGUGUGAUUUGUAUAUUUAAAAAGUGUGGGGAUUGAAGUGCCGAGAAACCUGAGGAAAACAGCCGCCGAGAGGAGGCCGCUCACGCCGGGCAACGAGGCCACCAAAACGCCGCUUCGACCCCCGGGCCUGGGCGAGAGAGCGAGCGAGAGGCGGGUCCUCCUUCACCGCCCCCCGAAGGGGCCGCAGGGCGGGCGGGUUAAUAACUACCAGGGCCCGGCGCUUGGGCACAGACGAGGGGCCGGGCGAGCCGUUUCUGUGAGGCGGCGCUGAGGCAAAAGCGGGCGCCGGGCCUGCCUCCCGCCGAGCGAAGACGACGGCGAGGCCCACUCGCCUCAGGCCGCCAUGGCUGCGCCUGCCGAGCCCAGCUACUUGGGAUGGGACUUCAGCACCCAGCAGCUGAAAGUAAUUGCUGUAGAUGAACAACUGCGAGUCAUCCAUGAGGACAGUGUCAAUUUUGACAAAGAUCUUCCAGAAUUUGGCACUCAAGGUGGCGUCCAUGUUCACAGUGACAGACUGACCGUGACUUCGCCUGUAUUAAUGUGGGUGAAGGCCCUGGAUAUGAUCUUGGAAAAGAUGAAGUCUUCUGGAUUUAACUUCUCCAGAGUGAAAGCUUUGUCUGGAGCUGGGCAGCAACAUGGAAGCGUCUACUGGAAAGAAGGUGCAAACUCUGUUUUACAAAACCUAUCGCCUGAUCUUCCUUUGCAUCAGUCCCUGAAGUCUUGCUUUUCUGUCAGCAACAGCCCUGUCUGGAUGGAUUCCAGCACAACUGCCCAGUGCUGCUCUCUGGAAAAAGCUGUCGGAGGGGCUCAGAAACUAGCUGAGGUCACCGGCUCACGAGCCUACGAGCGUUUUACAGGAAACCAGAUAGCGAAGAUUUACAGCCAGAACCCCGAGGUCUACACACACACAGAGAGGAUCUCUUUGGUCAGCAGCUUUGCAGCCUCCCUUUUCCUAGGGGCUUAUGCUCCCAUUGAUUACAGUGACGGUUCUGGCAUGAACUUACUGCAAAUCCAUGAGAAAGUAUGGAGUCCGGCCUGUCUUGAUGCUUGUGCACCUGGAUUAGGGAAAAAGUUGGGCCAUCCUGUACCAUCUAGCAAAGUACUGGGUUGUGUUUCACCCUACCACACCCAGCGCUUUGGGUUUAAUUCUGGCUGUAAAGUCGUUGCAUUUACUGGAGACAAUCCAGCAUCCAUGGCAGCAAUGAGACUUAGAGAAGGGGACAUUGCAAUUAGCCUUGGCACUAGUGAUACAUUGUUUCUCUGGAUUAAAGAGCCAAAAGCUGCUUUAGAAGGUCACAUCCUCUGCAGUCCAGUUGAUUCACAAGCCUACAUGGCCAUGCUGUGUUAUAAGAAUGGUUCUUUGAUGAGAGAGAAGAUUCGAGAUGAGCAUGCCUCUGGCUCAUGGGAGGAAUUUUCCAAAGCGCUUUUGUCUACGGCUGUUGGAAAUGAUGGAAAUGUGGGCUUUUAUUUUGAUGUGAUGGAGAUUAUACCGGAGACCGUGGGAAUUCACCGAUUCAACACACACAACAACAGAGUCUCAACAUUUCCCAAGGAACUGGAGAUACGGGCCUUGAUUGAAGGGCAGUUCAUGGCCAAAAGGAUUCAUGCUGAAAAGCUGGGAUAUACAAUCCUGCCUACGACAAGAAUCCUGGCUACUGGAGGAGCAUCCCACAAUAAAGCAAUUUUACAAGUCUUGUCUGAUGUGUUCAGUGCUCCAGUUUACACUAUUGACACUGCUAAUUCAGCCUGUUUAGGAUCUGCUUACAGAGCAAUCCAUUGUCUGUGAUCCUCAUUGCAGGACUCGUGGCAGAGACAAGCGUGUCCUUGACUGAUGUUGUGAAAUUAGCACCAGAGCCCAGAUUAGUUGCUACUCCGACAGCUGGCAUGGCUCAGGUUUACCAGCCUUUGCUUAAACGAUAUAAGGAACUUGAACAGCAGUUACUGAAUAGGCCAAAGGAACACCAUAUGAGAGAACCAAAAACAUCAAUCUAAAACCUUCUUUAAACAGGAAAAGCAAAAGCAAGCCAGCUGCUUCACCUUGAAAGUCCGGGACUCUGAGAAUACCUGCACUUUUUUCAAAGUUUGUAGCUUUGGACAAACAUUUGGGCAGUGCUAAAUGAAAGCUGAUGGCUUACUCUACCAGUUAGUUACCAUGUUUUUACCCAAAAAGAACCUGGAAAUCUGAUUUAAUUUUUGUAAGCGAUCACUGAAGAUUUUUGUAUUCACACGUCCUUUUCAAAGAAUUCAGUUCUGUGGGCAAAAGUAACCCUGUAUUGUAGCUAUACCCUCAUUAACCAGCUUGGAGCUGGGUAGAUGUUUCCUGGGUUACAAUGCUGGGUUGUAAAGUCCUGCACAGCUUCAUGUAGUCUUUCCUUUCUAUAUCCCCUUUUCCAACACAAAUAAAAAAGGAGAAAUGACUUAAACUCUUUGAAAAUUUGAAUUGCAUGUGCAAAAUAAAUGCAAACAAUAAAUUUGAUUUGCACCAUU